RNAcentral lists this ribosomal RNA (253 nucleotides) under uncultured bacterium. Its description in RNAcentral is "partial 16S ribosomal RNA". It matches the Rfam family "Bacterial small subunit ribosomal RNA", at positions 524 to 776 of the family's 1533-position model. The record is from RNAcentral.
GACGUAGGGCGCGAGCGUUGUCCGGAUUUAUUGGGCGUAAAGAGCUCGUAGGCGGCUUGUCGCGUCGACUGUGAAAUCCCGCGGCUCAACCGCGGGUCUGCAGUCGAUACGGGCAGGCUAGAGUUCGGUAGGGGAGACUGGAAUUCCUGGUGUAGCGGUGAAAUGCGCAGAUAUCAGGAGGAACACCGAUGGCGAAGGCAGGUCUCUGGGCCGAUACUGACGCUGAGGAGCGAAAGCGUGGGAAGCGAACAGG